GACUAACGCUGGCGGUAUGCCUUAGACAUGCAAGUCGAACGAGUUUCCGGGCUUGCUCGGAAAUUAGUGGCGAACGGCUGAGUAACGCGUAGGUGACCUACCCCGUAGUGGGGGAUAACUGCCCGAAAGGGUAGCUAAUACCGCAUGUUGAGCCGACAUCAAUGUCGUCUCCAAAGCAGAAAUGCGCUAUGGGCAGGGCCUGCGUUCGAUUAGCUAGUUGGUGGGGUAAAAGCCUACCAAGGCGACGAUCAGUAGCUGGUCUGAGAGGAAGAACAGGCACACUGGGACUGAGAAACGGCCCAGACUCCUACGGGAGGCAGCAGUGGGGAAUUUUGGACAAUGGGGGAAACCCUGAUCCAGCAAUGCCGCGUGAGUGAAGAAGGCCUUCGGGAUGUAAAGCUCUUUUGUCAGGGAAGAAACGGUUCUGGAUAAUACCAGAAGGUAAUGACGGUACCUGAAGAAUAAGCACCGGCUAACUACGUGCCAGCCGCCGCAGUAA
This 499-nucleotide ribosomal RNA is filed under the name uncultured bacterium. RNAcentral's name for it is "partial 16S ribosomal RNA". It matches the Rfam family "Bacterial small subunit ribosomal RNA", at positions 28 to 523 of the family's 1533-position model. The record is from RNAcentral.